UCUAACGACAAAACGGUCAUUCUCUCUCUCUCUCUCCUCUUUCUCUUUCUCUUUCUCUUUCUUUCUCUCUCUUCGGUUUCAAUUCAGGUCCUUCCCGUGGCUCUAUAUAUGCAUGCGCUCUGCACACACACAUACACCAACAGAGAGCCUCAAAAUCUCUCUGCAUUUCAAUGGCGGGUCUCCAUGCUUCUCUGAGACCCACCCAUCCUUCUUCCUCCUCUUCUUUAUCUUCUUUUUCAUCUCAACACACAUUCGGUUCGCGUCUCCUUCUCUUGCUCACUGUUCUACCUCUAGCCCUCGCCGCCUUCGCCUUCACCCUCCAAUGGCGCGGAGGCUUGACGGACCCCACUACCCGCUGGUCCUCCGACCGGUCGGAGCUCCCCGGCAUGGUCGUUGCAAGGUCCUCGCCCGCCCGCGCAUCAUCGACCCCCUGCGUCAAUGUUCUGGGUCGGAGCUCCCAGCCCUCUUUUCCCAUCUAUGGAGGCUGGAAUUUCAGCUCUCUGGGUGAUCUAAGGCCUAAGGUAUGUAUAAUGACAAGCACCUCUGCUGGCUUGGAGCAAAUUCUACCAUGGAUCUUUUUUCACAAGGUUGUAGGGGUUUCAACAUUUCUUUUGUUUGUGGAGGGAAAAGCUGCAAAACCUAAUGCUUCUAAAGUCCUUAAAUCAAUUCCAGGCGUAAAAGUCAUUUACCGAACAAAAGAGUUGGAGGAACAACAAGCUAAGAGCCGGAUCUGGAACGAGACUUGGCUGGCAAGCUUUUUCUACAAACCAUGCAACUAUGAGUUGUUUGUGAAGCAGUCACUCAAUAUGGAAAUGGCUAUUGUCAUGGCAAGGGAUACUGGAAUGGAUUGGAUCAUCCAUCUUGACACCGAUGAGUUAAUACAUCCAGCUGGUAUUCGUGAAUACUCUUUACUACAGUUGUUUGCAGAUGUGCCGGAAAACAUUGAUCAAGUUGUAUUUCCAAAUUAUGAAAGUGGGGUUGAGCGAGAUGAUAUAAAGGACCCUUUCAGUGAGGUAUCAUUGUUCAAGAAGAAUUUUGACCAUCUUCAAAGAAAAACAUACUUUGGUAGUUACAAAGAAGCAACCCGUGGUAAUCCUAAUUACUUUUUGACUUAUGGAAAUGGGAAGUCAGCUGCACGGAUUCAAGAUCAUCUUCGUCCUAAUGGUGCACACAGAUGGCACAACUAUAUGAAGAACCCUAAAGAGAUCAAAUUGGAAGAGGCUGCAAUUUUGCAUUACACAUAUCCUAAAUUUUCUGAUUUGACUUCGAGACGUGACCGGUGUGGCUGCAAGCCUACAAAGGUGGACGUGAAACGAUGCUUCAUGUUGGAAUUUGACAGAGCUGCAUUCAUAAUUGCUUCGACUGCAACAGAGGAGGAAAUGCUUCAAUGGUACCGUGAGCACGUUGUGUGGACCGACAAAACUCUGAUGAUGAAACUUCUAAAGAAAGGCAUUUUGACUCGCAUUUAUGCUCCCAUGGCUAUUGUUCGUGGAUUGAGGGAAUCUGGUGUUUUCAGUUCCAUAAUUGCAUCGGCUCAGGCAACUCACUCAAAGGACAAGUUAUUAUCCCGUAAGUGGAGUAAUUCAUCCAAGACAAUUGAAUCUGAAGCCAUUUCCACAAGAAAGAUUGGCAAUAAAGGUGCGUCUCAGGCAACUGCAAGAGAAGUGUUGGAAAUUGGAGAAACUGAUGAAACUGAUUCUCAUGCCCCAGCUGUCCCUCCAUUAUCACCUCCUGGAAUGGACAAACUCUUAGUAGAUGUACAAUUUUUCCAUAUACAAUGACCUCUGCCUCACCCAUGGUCCCAUGUUGUAGGUGUCUUCAUUUAAAAAAUUAUCUUAGAAACAGAAAUUUUUUCUAAAAGAUAAUAGAGAGAGAGAGUAGAAGAGGAAGAAGAAGAAGAAGUAGAAAAAGAAGAAGAAGAAAAGUGAGAGAGGCAGGUCUGGCUAUUAUGUUGGGGCUCUUUGGGGUCAAGUUCUUGGGUUCUUCCCUAUCAUUACCCCAACACUAAUGUACAUUCCUAGUAUGGACCACAGAUUUUGUUUUUUGAAGUGAAAGGUGUAUAGUAAGAUUUGAUUUGAUUCA
This is an RNA transcript of Malania oleifera, 2082 nucleotides long. It is a transcript of the gene named glycosyltransferase-like At3g57200, with no coding region annotated. The transcript has 12 exons. The record is from RefSeq and is a predicted model, not a curated record. NCBI's taxonomy places the organism in Eukaryota, Viridiplantae, Streptophyta, Magnoliopsida, Santalales, Ximeniaceae.